UACGUAGGAGGCAAGCGUUGUCCGGAUUUACUGGGCGUAAAGGGAGCGCAGGUGGUUGCGCAAGUCGAUGGUGCAAGCUCCAGGCUUAACUUGGAGAGGUCUGUCGAUACUGCGUGACUUGAGGGCGGUAGAGGAGCACGGAAUUCCUGGUGUAGUGGUGAAAUGCGUAGAUAUCAGGAGGAACACCGGUGGCGAAAGCGGUGCUCUGGGCCGUUCCUGACACUCAUGCUCGAAAGCGUGGGGAGCGAACCGG
Molecule: ribosomal RNA, 253 nt
Filed under: uncultured bacterium
Lineage: Bacteria
Description: partial 16S ribosomal RNA
Rfam family: Bacterial small subunit ribosomal RNA
Source: RNAcentral